This is an RNA transcript of Musa acuminata AAA Group (dessert banana), 1809 nucleotides long. It is a transcript of the gene named fructokinase-1-like, with no coding region annotated. Lineage: Eukaryota; Viridiplantae; Streptophyta; Magnoliopsida; Zingiberales; Musaceae. The record is from RefSeq and is a predicted model, not a curated record. The transcript has 5 exons.
CCCACCUCCCCUUCUCUUCUUUUUCUUCUUCUGUCCCGUAUAACUCAUUCUUCUCGUCUCUCCUCCCUUUCGAACACCUAAAAGAUGGCCGACUCCGGCGAAGGCCUCAUCGUGAGCUUCGGCGAGAUGCUCAUCGACUUCGUGCCGACGGUGUCGGGGGUGUCGCUGGCGGAGGCCCCGGGGUUCCUUAAGGCCCCCGGCGGCGCCCCGGCCAACGUGGCGAUCGCCGUGGCCCGACUCGGGGGGCGCGCUGCGUUCGUCGGCAAGCUGGGCGACGACGAGUUCGGCCGCAUGCUGUCGGCGAUCCUGCGGGAGAACGGCGUGGACGACACCGGCGUCACGUUUGACGCCGGGGCCCGCACCGCCCUCGCCUUCGUCACGCUUCGGGCCGACGGCGAGCGUGAGUUCAUGUUCUACCGCAACCCCAGCGCCGACAUGCUUCUCACGGAGGCCGAGCUCAACCUUGAUCUCAUCAGAAAGGCUGCAAUCUUCCACUACGGAUCGAUAAGCUUGAUCACGGAGCCCUGCAGAUCGGCUCAUCUGAAAGCCAUGGAGGUGGCCAAGGAAGCCGGGGCGCUGCUGUCGUACGACCCCAACCUCCGGUUGCCGCUUUGGACAUCGCCUGAGGAGGCUCGCAAGCAGAUCCUGAGCAUCUGGAACGAGGCAGACAUCAUAAAGGUCAGCGACGUCGAGCUCGAGUUCCUCACCGGCCAUGACUCGGUGGAAGACGAGGUGAUCGCGCAGCUCUGGCGCCCAAGCCUGAAGCUCCUCCUGGUGACGCUCGGUGAGAAGGGCUGCAAGUACUACACCAAGGAUUUCCAUGGCGCCGUCGCGUCCUUCACAGUGGAGCAGGUGGACACGACGGGGGCCGGAGACGCGUUCGUCGGCGCACUGCUCCGGCGGAUCGUCGAGGACCCGUCUGCGCUGCAGGAUGAGAAGAAGCUGAGGGAGGUGCUGAGGUUUGCCAAUGCGUGCGGGGCGAUCACCACCACCAAGAAGGGUGCAAUCCCCUCGUUGCCCAACGUAGCAGAAGCAAUGCGACUCUUUGAGAGCGCAUAGAACAUGAUUAGAUCUCGAAUUGAUCCAUAGCUACCCUUUUUUUUCUCACAAGCUCUUCUUGUGGCCUUGGAACUGCAAGGCCAUCAUCAAUUCCCUUUCUUGAUAACCCUUAGCAACCUUUUACAGAUCGAGUUGGUUUCUUGUCGAAUGGACUCUACUACCUCAGGAAGCUAUAUUGUCUGCCACCUAUAUGAUGAAAUGUGCAUGUUCCUGUGCGGUGUUCUUCUUCCUUCUUUUACCUCCUCGGAAAACAGAGGGGAUGAAUCCCUAUCUAAAGAUUCUUCCAUAUCAUGUAUCAAGAAGGAAUAUUAGAGGGAAAAGGGUGACGAAAUAAAAAGCGGCGUUUCUGGAUGGGACGAUGCAGAUACAUUCACCGAUUUCUCUCCAAUUACGAGCGAGAGGAAGCGCGAGACAACAUAUGGGGGGAGGGGAAGGGGAGGCUUGCCUGAAGCAACCAGCGGCGACGACCGUGAGAGGAUCGAAGUGACAGGAUCAGGAGGAAGCAGGAAGCAGGAAGCAGGAAGACGAAGCCAAGGACUGCUUACUUGUUCAAACCCUAACGACAAAAGGGGAUGCGAGGAAGAGGCGAAGACGCAGUGCGUACUGACGUCUCCACCGAACCAGAAAUCUGUUGUUUACCGCGCGGGGACGGCUACGGCGUAUGGGCAUUUAUAGUUAUUAGCCAGUUUAAAAUCUUGAGAAUUCUAAUUAUUAAGGGAGUGAAAUAUACUUAAUAAAAAAGAUUUCUUA